ACGGAAGGCAGCAGUGGGGAAUAUUGGGCAAUGGGCGAAAGCCUGACCCAGCAACGCCGCGUGAAGGAAGAAGGCCUUCGGGUUGUAAACUUCUUUUAUCAGGGACGAAGAAAGUGACGGUACCUGAUGAAUAAGCCACGGCUAACUACGUGCCAGCAGCCGCGGUAAUACGUAGGUGGCGAGCGUUAUCCGGAUUUACUGGGUGUAAAGGGCGCGUAGGCGGGGAUGCAAGUCAGAUGUGAAAUCCAUGGGCUUAACCCAUGAACUGCAUUUGAAACUGCUGAUCUUGAGUAUCGGAGAGGCAAUCGGAAUUCCUAGUGUAGCGGUGAAAUGCGUAGAUAUUAGGAGGAACACCAGUGGCGAAGGCGGAUUGCUGGACGACAACUGACGGUGAGGCGCGAAAGCGUGGGGAGCAAACAGGAUUAGAUACCCUGGUA
This 437-nucleotide ribosomal RNA is filed under the name uncultured Oscillibacter sp. RNAcentral's name for it is "bacterial SSU rRNA". It matches the Rfam family "Bacterial small subunit ribosomal RNA", at positions 341 to 792 of the family's 1533-position model. The record is from RNAcentral. Lineage: Bacteria; Bacillati; Bacillota; Clostridia; Eubacteriales; Oscillospiraceae.